RNAcentral lists this ribosomal RNA (527 nucleotides) under fungal sp. RNAcentral's name for it is "eukaryotic LSU rRNA". The stretch from base 179 to 332 matches the Rfam family "5.8S ribosomal RNA". The record is from RNAcentral. Lineage: Eukaryota; Fungi.
GGAAGGAUCAUUACCUUUCUUGCCCUUCGGGGCACAGUAGGGGCUAUACUUGCUAUAGCUUCUAUCUGCAUCCUUGUCUUUUGCGUACUACAUGUUUCCUCGGCGGGCUUGCCCGCCGGUUGGACCAUUCUAAACUCUUUGCAAUUGCAAUCAGCGUCUGAAUAAUUAUAAUAAUUACAACUUUCAACAACGGAUCUCUUGGUUCUGGCAUCGAUGAAGAACGCAGCGAAAUGCGAUAAGUAGUGUGAAUUGCAGAAUUCAGUGAAUCAUCGAAUCUUUGAACGCACAUUGCGCCCCUUGGUAUUCCAUGGGGCAUGCCUGUUCGAGCGUCAUUUGUACCCUCAAGCUUUGCUUGGUGUUGGGUGUUUGUCCUGUAUUGGACUCGCCUUAAAGUAAUUGGCAGCCGGCGUAUUGGCCUUGGAGCGCAGCACAAUUUGCGCUUUCAGUCAGUAUAUGUUGGCGUCCAUAAGCCUUUCUCACUUUUGACCUCGGAUCAGGUAGGGAUACCCGCUGAACUUAAGCAUAUC